UACGAAGGGGGCUAGCGUUGUUCGGAAUUACUGGGCGUAAAGCGCACGUAGGCGGGUUGUUAAGUCAGGGGUGAAAUCCCGGAGCUCAACUCCGGAACUGCCUUUGAUACUGGCAAUCUAGAGACUGGAAGAGGUUAGUGGAAUUCCCAGUGUAGAGGUGAAAUUCGUAGAUAUUCGGAGGAACACCAGUGGCGAAGGCGGCUCACUGGCUCGGUACUGACGCUGAGGUGCGAAAGCGUGGGGAGCAAACAGG
RNAcentral lists this ribosomal RNA (253 nucleotides) under uncultured bacterium. RNAcentral's name for it is "partial 16S ribosomal RNA". It matches the Rfam family "Bacterial small subunit ribosomal RNA", at positions 524 to 776 of the family's 1533-position model. The record is from RNAcentral.